GACGAACGCUGGCGGCGUGCUUAACACAUGCAAGUCGAACGCUGACGUCCUGGCUUUUGUUGGGCUGGUUGAGUGGCGAACGGGUGAUUAACACGUGAUUAACCUGCCCCCUUCUUUGGGAUAACGCCCCGAAACGGGUGCUAUUACUGGAUAUUCACUUAUCUUCGCAUGGGGGUUCGUGGAAUGGUUUGUUCUGGUGGGGGAUGGGCUCGCGGCCCAUCAGCUUGUUGGUGGGGUAAUGGCCUACUAAGGCGUUGACGGGCUGCCAGCCUGAGCAGGUGAACGGUGACAGUGAGGCUGAGAAGCGGCCCAGACACCGAGGGGAGGCAGCAGUGGGGAAGAGUGGACGAAGGGGGAAAGCCUGAUGAAGCGGCGCAGGGCGGAGGAUGGAGGGCUGCGGGAUGUAAGCAGCUUUCGGGGAUGGUCAGGCCGCAACUGUGGGUUGUGGUGAGGGGAGUGGGAAAAGAAGCGCCGGCUAACUACGUGC
This 487-nucleotide ribosomal RNA is filed under the name uncultured bacterium. RNAcentral describes it as "partial 16S ribosomal RNA". It matches the Rfam family "Bacterial small subunit ribosomal RNA", at positions 28 to 508 of the family's 1533-position model. The record is from RNAcentral.